Molecule: ribosomal RNA, 406 nt
Filed under: Verrucomicrobiota bacterium
Lineage: Bacteria; Pseudomonadati; Verrucomicrobiota
Description: Verrucomicrobia bacterium partial 16S ribosomal RNA
Rfam family: Bacterial small subunit ribosomal RNA
Source: RNAcentral
UGGGGAAUAUUGGGCAAUGGGCGAAAGCCUGACCCAGCAACGCCGCGUGAAUGAUGAAGGCCUUCGGGUUGUAAAAUUCUUUGGACAGGGACGAAGAAAGUGACGGUACCUGUAGAACAAGCCACGGCUAACUACGUGCCAGCAGCCGCGGUAAUACGUAGGUGGCGAGCGUUAUCCGGAUUUACUGGGCGUAAAGGGCGUGUAGGCGGCUAGAUAAGUGUGAUGUUUAAAUCCAAGGCUUAACCUUGGGGUUCAUUACAAACUGUUUAGCUUGAGUGCUGGAGAGGAUAGUGGAAUUCCUAGUGUAGCGGUAAAAUGCGUAGAUAUUAGGCGGAACACCGGUGGCGAAGGCGGCUAUCUGGACAGUAACUGACGCUGAGGCGCGAAAGCGUGGGGAGCAAACAGG